UACGUAGGGUGCAAGCGUUAAUCGGAAUUACUGGGCGUAAAGCGUGCGCCGGCGGUAUAUAAGACAGAUGUGAAAUCCCCGGGCUCAACCUGGGAACUGCAUUUGUGACUGUAUAGCUAGAGUACGGUAGAGGGGGAUGGAAUUCCGCGUGUAGCAGUGAAAUGCGUAGAUAUGCGGAGGAACACCGAUGGCGAAGGCAAUCCCCUGGACCUGUACUGACGCUCAUGCACGAAAGCGUGGGGAGCAAACAGG
This 252-nucleotide ribosomal RNA is filed under the name uncultured bacterium. RNAcentral's name for it is "partial 16S ribosomal RNA". It matches the Rfam family "Bacterial small subunit ribosomal RNA", at positions 524 to 776 of the family's 1533-position model. The record is from RNAcentral.